RNAcentral lists this ribosomal RNA (502 nucleotides) under Vermamoeba vermiformis. RNAcentral's name for it is "SSU rRNA". It matches the Rfam family "Eukaryotic small subunit ribosomal RNA", at positions 1215 to 1719 of the family's 1831-position model. Lineage: Eukaryota; Tubulinea; Echinamoebida; Vermamoebidae. The record is from RNAcentral.
UUACGAGGUCAGGACACUGUGAGGAUUGACAGAUUGAAAGCUCUUUCUUGAUUCAGUGGGUGGUGGUGCAUGGCCGUUCUUAGUUGGUGGAGUGAUUUGUCUGGUUAAUUCCGUUAACGAACGAGACCUUAACCUGCUAAAUAGUCACGCGAACCGGUCCGCAAGGGCUCAAAGUUCGCGGCUCGACUUCUUAGAGGGACUAUUCGCACCCGCCAGCGGAUGGAAGUUUGAGGCAAUAACAGGUCUGUGAUGCCCUUAGAUGUUCUCGGCCGCACGCGCGUUACACUGACGGAGUCAACGAGCGUUUUUCCUUGCCCGACAGGGCUGGGUAACCUCCUGAAACUCCGUCGUGAUGGGGAUAGAUCAUUGCAAUUAUUGAUUUUGAACGAGGAAUUCCUAGUAAGCGCGAGUCAUCAACUCGCGCUGAUUACGUCCCUGCCCUUUGUACACACCGCCCGUCGCUCCUACCGAUUGAACGGUCCGGCGAGAACUCCGGAUGGUC